Contarinia nasturtii (swede midge) is the source of this 490-nucleotide long non-coding RNA. RefSeq lists it as uncharacterized. The transcript is spliced from 3 exons. The record is from RefSeq and is a predicted model, not a curated record. NCBI's taxonomy places the organism in Eukaryota, Metazoa, Arthropoda, Insecta, Diptera, Cecidomyiidae.
UACGUGUUUUCAUUUUGAUCUUGCUUAAUUACAAUAAAUUUCAUUAAUAUUCGUCACCAAUAAAACUCAAGCAUAGAAAUCGUGAAAAUUGCACUUUGUUACCAAAUUAAAAGCCAAUUUAGCUCUCCACCAUAAAGCUUGCACCGUAAAACCAGAUCAGAACAGCAACAACAAGCGAUACAAUAUAUCCAGAUUUAUCGUGACUUUAUUAAGAUGAAUGUGACAACAACAAUGGACUGGAGAAACGAAAUGAACCAAAUGCUCGUUGCAUUCGAUCGCCAGGCCUUCCAUACUUUGGGCAAGAUAAGUAUGGCCUUCAAGUGCAAUGGUCUGUCAUUUGAUCCGAAUUUUAAGAACUACUUUUUGAAAACGUCAAAGGAACGAUUGGAGGCAACCUACCACCAAUUCGAAAUCAAUUUACAGCUUGAAAGACAGAUGUACGAUUGCACUACUGACAGUGCCAAAAUCUCAGCCGGUCAUCAAAUGGAAA